AAUCUUCCGCAAUGGGCGAAAGCCUGACGGAGCAACGCCGCGUGAAUGAUGAAGGCCUUCGGGUCGUAAAGUUUUGUCCUCAGGGAAGAACCAUUACAGGAGGGAAUGCCUGUAAUCUGACGGUACCUGAGGAGGAAGCCCUGGCUAACUACGUGCCAGCAGCCGCGGUAAUACGUAGAGGGCAAGCGUUGUCCGGAAUCACUGGGCGUAAAGGGUACGCAGGCGGAAAUACAAGUCAAGUGUGAAAUCUACCGGCUCAACCGGUAAGCUGCAUUUGAAACUGUAUAUCUUGAGUAUAGGAGAGGAGAGCGGAAUUCCUGGUGUAGCGGUGGAAUGCGUAGAUAUCAGGAAGAACACCAGUGGCGAAGGCGGCUCUCUGGCCUAAAACUGACGCUCAUGUACGAAAGCUGGGGGAGCAAAC
This 421-nucleotide ribosomal RNA is filed under the name uncultured bacterium. Its description in RNAcentral is "partial 16S ribosomal RNA". It matches the Rfam family "Bacterial small subunit ribosomal RNA", at positions 360 to 773 of the family's 1533-position model. The record is from RNAcentral.